RNA transcript from Maylandia zebra (zebra mbuna), 133 nucleotides. RefSeq lists it as uncharacterized. NCBI's taxonomy places the organism in Eukaryota, Metazoa, Chordata, Actinopteri, Cichliformes, Cichlidae. The record is from RefSeq and is a predicted model, not a curated record.
AGGUCUUCUAACCACAGCAACCACCGCAGCUCCUCAGAGUUCUGCUGAUGUUUGCAAUCAUUUUAUUCCUUAUCUAUAAACGAGUCUCACAUUUAAAAAAUGCUGAAAAUGGAGCUGGAGCAUCGUAUGUCAA